AGAGAUGCAUUGGAUCCCAUUUUUGCAGUCUUUGGUAUUUUUGCAGUCUUUGGUAUGACUCGUCCGGAGAUCGAACUCCCAACCUUCCAAUCUCAGGGUGAACACUAACCACAGGCCCACUGAGUUGGUCCAGAUUCUUGGUAACAGAUAAUAUAAAGAAAAUGCCACCAAUCAAAUUCUAACUCGUGUCUUUGUCUGGCUGAACCUGAAUCAGACUUUGUUCUAGUGUGGGAGGUGAAACGGAGAAAGUGUCGCUCCCAAAAGAGGGGGAGAUUGGAGACCAGCAGUCAGGGAGGUCGGGGGAGGGCCAGAGGAGGAGAGAAGCAGGUCUGAAUGGAGAAAAGACUCAGCUGGCUCGAUGGAGGGACAAAUUCACCCAAAACCUGCAGAAUACCAACCUGCUGCUGGAAAAGGAGGAGACAGUGAGAGAGGAAAAAAUCCAUCCAUUAUCUGAAACUUAGCGCCCCCUGGGAUGUGUUGGUUUAUUACGCAGAGGAGCUCAUUCUAAGAGUGCCCCUACAGGCUCAACCAAACCCAGACUUCUAUACGUCUGACUGGAUCCUUCGGAAGCUAUGCAUUCCCAACAUCAUGGCUGAGUCUGUGCCCAGCAGGCCACUGGACUACUACACUUGUGCCUUUCGCAAGUCAAAUGGAGAAGUUCCUUGGCUUUGAGGACAAUGACACCUACUUCACUAACACACAGAGACACCGUAUAGUGAGUGCAUCCAUUGACCUUUUUAUAUCUUUACCCAUGUGUUGUGUAGUGAUGGACGUACCCCAGAUAUACACCCAGAGGGUACAAAACAUUAAGAACACCUUCCUAAUAUUGAGUUGGUUAGCGUGCACUGCGUGCACUGCUCCUGGCCCACCACAGGAGUCGGUAGUGCGUGAUGAGACAAGGAUAUCCCUACCGGCCAAACCCUCUCUAACCCGGACGAUGCUAGGCCAAUUGUGCGUCGACCCACGGACCUCCUUGUCGCGAACCCAGAUUCUCUGGUGGCCCAGCUAGGACUGCAAUGCAGUGCCCUAGACCACUACACCACCCGGGAGACCUAGGUCAGAUACAUUCUUAAUGUACCGCUACUCAUAAUGACAUCUGCCUAUUACAGCAGUGUGUGUGUGUGUGUGUGUAUAUGUGCGCGUGUGCAUCCAUGUGCACGUGUGCAUGUUUGUGUGUGCGGCAAGUGAGUUUGUGUGUGCAUGUGUAGAUGCGUACGUGUGUGUGUGUGUUUCUCAGGGCCCAUUUGAGCUGCCAGAGUAUGAGGCGUGUCCAGAUGAGCUCAACCAGAGGCAGGUCUUGUUCCAGUAUUGGGCCCACUGGUCUAAGUGGAACAAGUACCAGCCACUGGACCACAUCAGAGAAUACUUUGGAGAGAAGAUAGCCUUUUACUUUGCCUGGCUGGGUAAG
Long non-coding RNA from Oncorhynchus keta (chum salmon), 1408 nucleotides. RefSeq lists it as uncharacterized. The record is from RefSeq and is a predicted model, not a curated record. NCBI's taxonomy places the organism in Eukaryota, Metazoa, Chordata, Actinopteri, Salmoniformes, Salmonidae. The transcript is spliced from 4 exons.